UGUGGGGGUUUUAUUUCAAAGUUUGGUAAUGUUUUAUUAACCAGAAAUAUGCCAUGGAAUUUAACUCUUAUUUAUAUCAAUUAGCCUAUGAUAAAGUUGGUU
Molecule: long non-coding RNA, 102 nt
Organism: Phyllostomus discolor (pale spear-nosed bat)
Lineage: Eukaryota; Metazoa; Chordata; Mammalia; Chiroptera; Phyllostomidae
Exons: 3
Source: RefSeq, a predicted model, not a curated record